This 293-nucleotide ribosomal RNA is filed under the name uncultured microorganism. RNAcentral's name for it is "partial 16S ribosomal RNA". It matches the Rfam family "Bacterial small subunit ribosomal RNA", at positions 505 to 796 of the family's 1533-position model. The record is from RNAcentral.
GUGCCAGCAGCCGCGGUAAUACGUAGGGCGCAAGCGUUAUCCGGAAUUAUUGGGCGUAAAGAGCUCGUAGGCGGUUUGUCGCGUCUGCCGUGAAAGUCCGGGGCUUAACUCCGGAUCUGCGGUGGGUACGGGGCAGACUUGAGUGAUGUAGGGGAGACUGGAAUUCCUGGUGUAGCGGUGAAAUGCGCAGAUAUCAGGAGGAACACCGAUGGCGAAGGCAGGUCUCUGGGCAUUAACUGACGCUGAGGAGCGAAAGCAUGGGGAGCGAACAGGAUUAGAUACCCUGGUAGUCC